This is a long non-coding RNA of Oncorhynchus keta (chum salmon), 486 nucleotides long. RefSeq lists it as uncharacterized. The transcript has 3 exons. Lineage: Eukaryota; Metazoa; Chordata; Actinopteri; Salmoniformes; Salmonidae. The record is from RefSeq and is a predicted model, not a curated record.
CACAGGUGUAGAACAGGGUACAACAGGUGUACAACAGGGUACAACAGGGUACAACAGGGUACAACAGGUGUAGAACAGGGUACAACAGGUGUAGAACAGGGUACAACAGGUGUAGAACAGGGUACAACAGGUGUAGAACAGGGUACAACAGGUGUAGAACAGGGUACAACAGGUGUAGAACAGGGUACAACAGGUGUAGAACAGGGUACAACAGGUGUAGAACAGGGUACAACAGGUGUAGAACAGGGUACAACAGGUGUAGAACAGGGUACAACAGGUGUAGAACAGGGUACAACAGGUGUAGAACAGGGAACAACAGGUGUAGAACAGGGUACAACAGGUGUAGAACAGGGUACAACAGGUGUAGAACAGGGUACAACAGGGUACAACAGGUGUAGAACAGGGUACAACAGGUGUAGAACAGGGUACAAUGUGGGUAGAGCUUGUGUUUGUGUUGAGCUCUACCUCUUUACAUUGAGCUGUAAU